CUACGGGUGGCUGCAGUGAGGAAUAUUGCACAAUGGGGGGAACCCUGAUGCAGCAACGCCGCGUGGAGGAUGACGCAUUUCGGUGUGUAAACUCCUUUUAUAUGUCAAGAAAAUGACGGUAGCAUAUGAAUAAGCACCGGCUAACUCCGUGCCAGCAGCCGCGGUAAUACGGAGGGUGCGAGCGUUACUCGGAAUCACUGGGCGUAAAGGACGCGUAGGCGGGUUGGAAAGUCAGGUGUGAAAUCCUACAGCUUAACUGUAGAACUGCACUUGAAACUUCUAAUCUAGAGUAUGGGAGGGGGAGAUGGAAUUAGUGGUGUAGGGGUAAAAUCCGUAGAUAUCACUAGGAAUACCUAAAGCGAAGGCGAUCUCCUGGAACAUUACUGACGCUAAGGCGUGAAAGCGUAGGGAGCAAACAGGAUUAGAUACCCGGGUAGUC
Molecule: ribosomal RNA, 439 nt
Filed under: uncultured bacterium
Lineage: Bacteria
Description: partial 16S ribosomal RNA
Rfam family: Bacterial small subunit ribosomal RNA
Source: RNAcentral